GACGUAGGGCGCGAGCGUUGUCCGGAUUUAUUGGGCGUAAAGAGCUCGUAGGCGGUUUGUCGCGUCUGCCGUGAAAGUCCGGGGCUCAACUCCGGAUCUGCGGUGGGUACGGGCAGACUAGAGUGAUGUAGGGGAGACUGGAAUUCCUGGUGUAGCGGUGAAAUGCGUAGAUAUCUGGAGGAACACCGGUGGCGAAGGCGGCAUCCUGGACCAAUAUUGACGCUGAGGAGCGAAAGCUAGGGGAGCAAACGGG
RNAcentral lists this ribosomal RNA (253 nucleotides) under uncultured bacterium. Its description in RNAcentral is "partial 16S ribosomal RNA". It matches the Rfam family "Bacterial small subunit ribosomal RNA", at positions 524 to 776 of the family's 1533-position model. The record is from RNAcentral.